Molecule: ribosomal RNA, 253 nt
Filed under: uncultured bacterium
Lineage: Bacteria
Description: partial 16S ribosomal RNA
Rfam family: Bacterial small subunit ribosomal RNA
Source: RNAcentral
UACGAAGGGAGCUAGCGUUGUUCGGAAUCACUGGGCGUAAAGCGCGCGUAGGCGGUUUGUCAAGUCAGAGGUGAAAUGCCGGGGCUUAACCCCGGAACUGCCUUUGAAACUGUCAGACUGGAGUCUCGGAGAGGAUAGCGGAAUUUCUAAUGUAGCGGUGAAAUGCGUAGAUAUUAGAAGGAACACCGGUGGCGAAGGCGGCUAUCUGGACGAGUACUGACGCUGAGGCGCGAAAGCGUGGGGAUCAAACAGG